RNAcentral lists this ribosomal RNA (253 nucleotides) under uncultured bacterium. Its description in RNAcentral is "partial 16S ribosomal RNA". It matches the Rfam family "Bacterial small subunit ribosomal RNA", at positions 524 to 776 of the family's 1533-position model. The record is from RNAcentral.
UACGUAGGGUGCAAGCGUUGUCCGGAAUUAUUGGGCGUAAAGAGCUUGUAGGCGGUUUGUCGCGUCCGUUGUGAAAGCCCCGGGCUCAACCUGGGAAUGGCAAUGGAAACUGGCGGGCUAGAGUGUGGCAGAGGGGGGUGGAAUUCCGCGUGUAGCAGUGAAAUGCGUAGAGAUGCGGAGGAACACCGAUGGCGAAGGCAGCCCCCUGGGCUGACACUGACGCUCAGGCACGAAAGCGUGGGGAGCAAACAGG